RNAcentral lists this ribosomal RNA (738 nucleotides) under uncultured bacterium. Its description in RNAcentral is "bacterial SSU rRNA". It matches the Rfam family "Bacterial small subunit ribosomal RNA", at positions 214 to 951 of the family's 1533-position model. The record is from RNAcentral.
ACUGAUUUAAGAUAAGCUCGUGCAGGAUUAUGGUAGUUGGUGGGGUAAAAGCCUACCAAGCCGAAGAUCCUUAGCUGGUUUGAGAGAACGAUCAGCCACACAGGGACUGAGAUAAGGCCCUGGCUUUUUAGCCAGCAGUGAGGAAUUUUGGACAAUGGGCGAAAGCCUGAUCCAGUAAUACUGCGUGAAUGAGGAAAGCAAAAAAGAUUUUUAGGUUUUAUUACUUAUUAAUCGGUUGUAAAAUUAUUUCGCUAACGAAGAUAAUGACUUUAGUUAGAAAAGAAGCCCCGGCCAAUUUCGUGCCAGCAGCCGCGGUAAUACGAGAGGGGCUAGCGUUAUUCAGAAUGAUUGGGCGUAAAGGGUUCGUAGGCGGUAAUUGCUGUUACUGGUAAAAUUUUAAGUUUAUUUUUAAAACAGCCAGUAAUACACUUUUACUAGAGUAUAGGAGGGGAUAACAGAAUUUCAUACAUAGGGGUAAAAUCCAAUAAUUUAUGAAGGAAUGUCAGUGGCGAAAGCGGUUGUCUGGACUAUUUACUGACGUUGAGGAACGAAAGCGUAGGGAGCAAACAGGAUUAGAUACCCUGGUAGUCUACGCUGUCAAAGAUGAGUGUUAAUGCUGGGUUUUACCCGGCAUAAAGCUAACGCGUUAAGCACUCCGCCUGGGAAGUACGGUCGCAAGACUGGAACUCAAAGGAAUUGACGGGGGUCUACACAAGUGGUGGAGCAUGUGGUUUAAUG